GAACUAGCUUCAGCAGUGCACAUACUAAAAUUAGAACAAUAGAGAGAAUAGUAGCAAGUCCCCUGUGCAAGGAUGAAUUGUUCCAUAUGGUUAGCCACACAGGGUGGU
Small nuclear RNA from Ictidomys tridecemlineatus (thirteen-lined ground squirrel), 108 nucleotides. The record is from Ensembl. Lineage: Eukaryota; Metazoa; Chordata; Mammalia; Rodentia; Sciuridae.